ACAGUUGUGUCAAUUCAUGAUUGGCUGUAAGAGAACUCGACAGAGUAUAAAUGAAAGGGGAAAUUAAAGGGGAUAUCCUGUCUCCUGCACAGACACUUCACAUCAGCUGACACCAGUUUACAACAUCACCGACGCUGCCUGAACCGCCACAGAUUUGAUUUGGAGUCGUCAUCCAAAGCAAAAAAGUAGCCAGCUGAGGAGUCCGGGGUCCUGACUCAAAACAACACAGUAAGGUAAAUUAGCUUAUUUGUUUAAUCCACACACUAGACUAGUAAUUUAGCAUGUAUACUGCCUUAAUGUUACCGAUAACCUGUAACGCUAGCUAACCAUUUGACAUAUUUAUAUCCAAACAAUGAUCAGGUAUGUAGCGAUUACUUUUAAUCGUUACAUACCUGAAGUGGAUUGGGCAACAAGAAAUUACCUACGAGCUAACGGCACUUAAUAGAUAUUUAGAAAGACUGCUUGUGUUUCUGCCCUGACAUGCAAAAGACUUGUUGCACUUUCAGAAACAAGCAUUGUCCACAGCAACUCUAGUGAAGUGUAACCAGACUUUUGAGGGCCAUUAACCCUUAGGGGUUCCUUAA
Morone saxatilis (striped sea-bass) is the source of this 584-nucleotide long non-coding RNA. RefSeq lists it as uncharacterized. NCBI's taxonomy places the organism in Eukaryota, Metazoa, Chordata, Actinopteri, Moronidae. The record is from RefSeq and is a predicted model, not a curated record. The transcript is spliced from 2 exons.